This is a non-coding RNA of Talpa occidentalis (Iberian mole), 360 nucleotides long. Lineage: Eukaryota; Metazoa; Chordata; Mammalia; Eulipotyphla; Talpidae. The record is from the annotation of a RefSeq genome assembly.
AUGGACAUCACUCACUACUGUGACCCCCAGAAGGAGCAGCAGGGGAACAGAGGUUCUGUGGUCUCCUAUGAGCUGACUCAGCCACCCUCAGUGUCAGUGGUCCUGGGAUUGAUGGUCAGAAUCACCUGUCAAGGAAACAGCAUUGUAAGUAGAAGAGCUCACUGGAACCAGCAGAAGCCAGUCCAGGCCCCAGUGAUGGUCAUUUACCAUGAUAACGACCAGCCCUCAGGGAUCCCUGACUGGUUCUUUGGCUCCAACUUGGGGAACACGGCCAUCCUGACCAUCAACAGGGCCCAGGCUGAGGAUGAGGCUGAUUAUUACUGUCAGUCAGGAGGCAGCAGUUAUGAUCUCCCGCAGUGA